GAUCACCUCCUUUCUAUGGAGUUUGGUUUCUAAUAAGAAACCAAGACAACAAGAAAAAUUAGAUGGAUGAUUUAUUGGAUUACUUUUUUUGUUCUGUUUAGUUUUCAGGGAUUGUUUUCUCUGAGCAAUUGUUCUUUAAAAACUAGAUAAUAGACAUCUUUUAAAAAAAAUAAGAUAAUUUUUAUC
This 186-nucleotide unclassified non-coding RNA is filed under the name Spiroplasma sp. RNAcentral's name for it is "16S-23S ribosomal RNA intergenic spacer". Lineage: Bacteria; Bacillati; Mycoplasmatota; Mollicutes; Entomoplasmatales; Spiroplasmataceae. The record is from RNAcentral.